GCGGACAUGGCGGAAUGGCAGACGCGCCGGAUUUAGGAUCCGGUGGGAAACCGUGUGGGUUCAAGUCCCAUUGUCCGUACCA
Molecule: transfer RNA, 82 nt
Filed under: Clostridia bacterium
Lineage: Bacteria; Bacillati; Bacillota; Clostridia
Description: tRNA-Leu
Rfam family: tRNA
About the family: Transfer RNA (tRNA) molecules are approximately 80 nucleotides in length. Their secondary structure includes four short double-helical elements and three loops (D, anti-codon, and T loops). Further hydrogen bonds mediate the characteristic L-shaped molecular structure. tRNAs have two regions of fundamental functional importance: the anti-codon, which is responsible for specific mRNA codon recognition, and the 3' end, to which the tRNAs corresponding amino acid is attached (by aminoacyl-tRNA synthetases). tRNAs cope with the degeneracy of the genetic code in two manners: having more than one tRNA (with a specific anti-codon) for a particular amino acid; and 'wobble' base-pairing, i.e. permitting non-standard base-pairing at the 3rd anti-codon position.
Source: RNAcentral